AGAGUUUGAUUCUGGCUCAGGACGAACGCUGGCGGCGCGCCUAACACAUGCAAGUCGAACGAGAGAUGAGGAGCUUGCUCUUCAAAUCGAGUGGCGAACGGGUGAGUAACGCGUGAGGAACCUGCCUCAAAGAGGGGGACAACAGUUGGAAACGACUGCUAAUACCGCAUAAGCCCACGGCCCGGCAUCGAGCAGAGGGAAAAGGAGCAAUCCGCUUUGAGAUGGCCUCGCGUCCGAUUAGCUAGUUGGUGAGGUAACGGCCCACCAAGGCGACGAUCGGUAGCCGGACUGAGAGGUUGAACGGCCACAUUGGGACUGAGACACGGCCCAGACUCCUACGGGAGGCAGCAGUGGGGAAUAUUGCACAAUGGGGGAAACCCUGAUGCAGCGACGCCGCGUGGAGGAAGAAGGUCUUCGGAUUGUAAACUCCUGUUGUUGAGGAAGAUAAUGACGGUACUCAACAAGGAAGUGACGGCUAACUACGUGCCAGCAGCCGCGGUAAAACGUAGGUCACAAGCGUUGUCCGGAAUUACUGGGUGUAAAGGGAGCGCAGGCGGGAGAACAAGUUGGAAGUGAAAUCCAUGGGCUCAACCCAUGAACUGCUUUCAAAACUGUUUUUCUUGAGUAGUGCAGAGGUAGGCGGAAUUCCCGGUGUAGCGGUGGAAUGCGUAGAUAUCGGGAGGAACACCAGUGGCGAAGGCGGCCUACUGGGCACCAACUGACGCUGAGGCUCGAAAGUGUGGGUAGCAAACAGGAUUAGAUACCCUGGUAGUCCACACCGUAAACGAUGAUAAAUGGGUGUUGGAGGAUUGACCCCUUCAGUGCCGCAGUUACCACAAUAAGUAAUCCACCUGGGGAGUACGACCGCAAGGUUGAAACUCAAAAGGAAUUGACGGGGGCCCGCACAAGCAGUGGAGUAUGUGGUUUAAUUCGACGCAACGCGAAGAACCUUACCAAGUCUUGACAUCCUGCGACGCACAUAGAAAUAUGUGUUUCCUUCGGGACGCAGAGACAGGUGGUGCAUGGUUGUCGUCAGCUCGUGCCGUGAGAUGUUGGGUUAAGUCCCGCAACGAGCGCAACCCUUAUGGUCAGUUACUACGCAAGAGGACUCUGGCCAGACUGCCGUUGACAAAACGGAGGAAGGUGGGGAGGACGUCAAAUCAUCAUGCCCUUUAUGACUUGGGCUACACACGUACUACAAUGGCGUUAAACAAAGAGAAGCAAGACCGCGAGGUGGAGCAAAACUCAGAAACAACGUCCCAGUUCGGACUGCAGGCUGCAACUCGCCUGCACGAAGUCGGAAUUGCUAGUAAUCGUGGAUCAGCAUGCCACGGUGAAUA
This 1340-nucleotide ribosomal RNA is filed under the name uncultured bacterium. Its description in RNAcentral is "16S ribosomal RNA". It matches the Rfam family "Bacterial small subunit ribosomal RNA", at positions 8 to 1368 of the family's 1533-position model. The record is from RNAcentral.